This 1761-nucleotide long non-coding RNA is filed under the name Cricetulus griseus (Chinese hamster). RNAcentral's name for it is "lncRNA (ENSCGRG00015034787.1)". Lineage: Eukaryota; Metazoa; Chordata; Mammalia; Rodentia; Cricetidae. The record is from RNAcentral.
AAAUGAACCUUAAUAUGUAGCCCAUGCUGUCUUUAAAAUUGCUUAUUAUUAUUAUUAUUAUUAUUAUUAUUAUUAUUAUUAUUAAUUCUUAAAAUCUCAUGUGUAGGGGGCUUUUGCCUAUGUGUGUGCCUGUGCUCUUCCUGGAUGCCUGGUAUCUGAGGAGUCUAGAAGAGUGCAUCAGUUUCCCUGGAACUGAAGCUACAGACGGUUGUGAACCUCCAUGUUCCCUGCCUGGACUCCCCUCAAUACCAGAUUAUGUCCUGGAAAUGUAAGCAAAAUAAUCCAGUCCUCCAAGGUGCUUUGGGUCAGAUGUUUUAGCAUAGCAAGAGGAAAGCAACUAAGACACUAUUAAAGCCAGUCAAGUAAAAUAAUGUGAGAGGCAGAGACAGCAAACUCUCUUCUAAUGGGUGGUAUACAGAGCCUUUGUCCAAACCCAAGGCCUUCUGGGAAGAAGCAUGGCUUAUAUUCGUCACAGCCCUGAAUGAAACACCCCUCAACAACUGUGCUGUAUUAUUAGAAUGCUGCAGAAGCAAAGUGAGCAUGGGGAGCCCUUGUCCUGUGCUUAGGGGUAUUUACUUGGCAUCUCAAGUUUAUGGACAAGUCUUGGCUGUGCUUCUAUUUGGGUGAGCUUGAGCAAUCCAAUGUACUUCUUCCAACUUCAGUUUCUCUUUGCAUUGUAGUCAUAAUGAAAGAAAUUUAAGUACAUCAAGUACCCAAGACAGUUCUUGACAAAGCUCUUAUUAGCAUUAAUUGCUACCUUGUCAACAUCCACUGUUGGGAAGAGGGUGGGUCCAGGAUCAGGUGAUAGGUUACCAGGCUGGACAGACAGGCUUUGUGCAAUUAUGGGAUCCUUGGAGAGCAAACUAAGCAGCCAGAGUGUGGGAUAGUCUGGGUGGUGUACUAACACCUUAGAAAAGCUCUCAGGCAAUUGAGUUAUUCUAAGCAGAGCCCCAGUAGGUUGGGGACUUCUGGAAGAUGACUAGGAAGGCAUGUCUCUGGCUAAAAGCAAAACAGGGUAACUUUACCCCAGACAAGGCUUCAGUCCUGAGGAGACAAACUGAGACAGGGGAUGGUCUGAUGAACUAGGUCCUGGCAUGGUAGGAGGUCGGCUGAAAGGAAGGGAAGAAAUAUUGUGACAAGGGAGAUCUGCCACAGCCUCAAAGCUCUUCUGUAAACCAGGAGCUAAUUACAAGCUUGGUGAGGCUGAGCCCCUUGCUAGAGCAGCUGUGGCCAUCAGUGACUCAGUUCGAACUGUCCCUCUGCCAGAUAAUCUGGUGUUCUGGGAGGCACAAAUGGUCAGAACAUGGCAAUCUGCAGCAGACAGGAACACGGAAAACAUUUCUCAACAGUAACAAUGGCCUGAAUGUGGAAGAAAAAGACUUUUCUUAUCUGCCUAGGAUGUACAUGUAGUCUGUUUUUGGAAAAGAGAGGGCCUAGGUUUAUACCAGCUGUCUCCUUGGUUUUAUAACAAUGGUUAAAAACAAAACAAAAUGAAAAGGUUGGAGUGUGAGAGUAAACAAAGCUACUUGGCCUGUAGAUUUUGUGAAAUUUACCAAAUAUGAGAAACUCUGGGCUUUUGAUUUCUUUGUUGGUAUUGCUUUUUGUUUGUUUGUUUUUAUUUUAGAGGCAACUCUGAAUAUGAGAGUAUAUUACAAAUUGUGUUAGCAGUAGCCUGGGAGUCUGUAUUUCAAAUUUCCUGUCAUUUUUCUUUUUCCAUUUAUUUGUUUUGGAGACAUGAACUACUCCUAUGGAGAAAAAAAU